Molecule: long non-coding RNA, 428 nt
Organism: Myotis brandtii (Brandt's bat)
Lineage: Eukaryota; Metazoa; Chordata; Mammalia; Chiroptera; Vespertilionidae
Exons: 3
Source: RefSeq, a predicted model, not a curated record
GGAAGGUGCUCAGAAAAAGGCUGCUGAUCAAAAAACCAAAGUGCCAGAACCUACCAAGACCUGUUCCAGCCAGCCCCAGCCUGCCGGUACCGGGACCAGUACUUCCACCAGCACUCUCUCCAGCAGCAGCAAUGGCAAGCGCGCACCUGCCGGCGGCCAGCAGCCAGCUGUGUCCCGCUACCUGCCUCGUGAGGUGCCUCCGCGCUUCCGCCAGCAGGAGCAGAAGCAGCUACUGAAGAGGGGCCAACCACUGCCCGCGGGGGCUCUGACCAGUGCGAGCCCCACCCAGGGCGCUGGGCCUGCCGGGGUGAGCCCUCCUCCCCUCCCUGGAGCCGGAGCGCAGCCACAGCCCAGCAAGCUCCAGCCAGGUGAGCCACGGAGGGCGGCUUCUCCUCUGGGGUCGUGUGCUGUUUCCCACUCGGCGGCCC